CCUAUCGCUUUGCGAUCGCAUACAAGAGUGAGCCAUCUUUUGACGAUGGUAGGAUAAUUAUUGACCUGAGGAAUAAUAUGGAUUUAUGUGGUUGUGGUGGACUUUGUGUUUGUGAUUGUGAAAAUGUGAGUGUGUGUCUGUGUAUGUGUGCGCGCGGGCGCGCGCGCUUUCCUGAACCAGGGAUCCCACUUGACAAGUUGACCUUGUCUAGAGGAGCAUUAGUGGAAAAAAACAGGGUAGCCCUGAGACAAUAGGAUGCCGUCACGACCAAUGAGACUGGCCUGCAGGGGGCGCAAGGAUUCACUUCUCUCUUGGACACUGGCGGGUGUAGACACGGUAAUUAUGAUCCUGGCGUUGGCCGUCAGUGGAAGAGCGUAGCUUAGGUGGGGUUCUGUCUGCCUCUGAUGGGGUGUGGAUGUAUGGUUCGUCACUGGUGAAUGGUGUUCGACGAUGCAGGUGGAUUUUGUGACGAGCGGAUUUACAAUGAGGGAAUGCUGUGAACAGGAAAAAUGAUGAGCUGUCCUAACUUGCCCAGACAUGCCGUGAUGACGUCACAGCUGACGUCACAGGAUGUCCGGAACUGGUGGUCAUAGCUGCGAUGCUUUGCAACCUGCCUCUGUGCUCCGUCGCCCAGCGACGGUCAGCGGCCUUUCCGGACCGCUUUCUUCAAGAUGGCGCCGUGGAUCUUCAAUUAAACUCCUUCUCUCCACUCUAUUUCUAUCUAUUUUUUUAUUUUUUAUGGACUCUCAUAGUGCACAACGCUCAGCUGGUCUGGACACGAGUUAGACUUUCCCCAAUUAGUGUGGUGGCUCCCUGGAGGGUGCUGAUUAAUGUGGGGGGUCCCAAUUAGCUCUAAUUGCUAAUUAAAUCGUGUUCAGGCCAGUUGGGCGUUGUGCACUGUGAGAGUCCAGUACC
This is a long non-coding RNA of Ornithodoros turicata, 915 nucleotides long. RefSeq lists it as uncharacterized. The record is from RefSeq and is a predicted model, not a curated record. NCBI's taxonomy places the organism in Eukaryota, Metazoa, Arthropoda, Arachnida, Ixodida, Argasidae. The transcript is spliced from 3 exons.